RNAcentral lists this transfer RNA (72 nucleotides) under Camelus dromedarius (Arabian camel). It matches the Rfam family "tRNA". From Rfam's summary of the family: Transfer RNA (tRNA) molecules are approximately 80 nucleotides in length. Their secondary structure includes four short double-helical elements and three loops (D, anti-codon, and T loops). Further hydrogen bonds mediate the characteristic L-shaped molecular structure. tRNAs have two regions of fundamental functional importance: the anti-codon, which is responsible for specific mRNA codon recognition, and the 3' end, to which the tRNAs corresponding amino acid is attached (by aminoacyl-tRNA synthetases). tRNAs cope with the degeneracy of the genetic code in two manners: having more than one tRNA (with a specific anti-codon) for a particular amino acid; and 'wobble' base-pairing, i.e. permitting non-standard base-pairing at the 3rd anti-codon position. Lineage: Eukaryota; Metazoa; Chordata; Mammalia; Artiodactyla; Camelidae. The record is from Rfam by way of RNAcentral. RNAcentral also lists the same sequence under 1 other name.
GAGGGGAUAGCUCAGUGGUAGAGCGCGUGCUUAGCAUGCAUGAAGUGCUGGGUUCAAUCCCCAGUACCUACA